AGGGUGGGAGGGUCCCCGAAGAGAGGGGAAACUCCAGUCUCUCAGUCCCAUCCGAUAAUCCCAAAAUCAUCACCUCCACUUUCACCCUUAUCUUGCAGAUAGGAUCCCACCUAAGUUUCUUGGGGGAAUAAAGGAAGCAGGACGGUUGGUGGUGAGGUGACGAAGGAACAGUUACCACGGAGAUUGGAAGAGGACAACAAUCUCUGGGGAUGCAGUUGCUCCCAGAUCAGUCUUACCAGGAUGUAGACACAUUCCAGGGGAAAUUUCGCAGCACUCUCUACCGUUAUAUUUCCGAAGAAGCAGCAUCAACUGGUCUUUGCUGAGCUUCUGAGAUCCAAGUUGGAAGCCCUGGAAGGUGCUACAAUAAGGCAAUAGUUUCUAACAGGAUUUUUACUUUUCUAAAAAAAUAAGAAUUUGUUCCAUGUUUCUUAAAAUA
This 436-nucleotide long non-coding RNA is filed under the name Homo sapiens (human). RNAcentral's name for it is "HSALNT0365127". The record is from RNAcentral. Lineage: Eukaryota; Metazoa; Chordata; Mammalia; Primates; Hominidae.